Molecule: ribosomal RNA, 301 nt
Filed under: uncultured bacterium
Lineage: Bacteria
Description: partial 16S ribosomal RNA
Rfam family: Bacterial small subunit ribosomal RNA
Source: RNAcentral
CAGCAGCCACGGGAAUACGAAGGGGGCUAGCGUUGUCCGGAAUUAUUGGGCGUAAAGCGCGCGCAGGCGGUUUCUUAAGUCUGAUGUGAAAGCCCCCGGCUUAACUGGGGAGGGUCAUUGGAAACUGGGAGACUUAGAGUGCAGAAGAGGAGUGUGGAAUUCCAUGUGUAGCGGUGAAAUGCGUAGAUAUAUGGAGGAACACCAGUGGCGAAGGCGACUCUCUGGUCUGUAACUGACGCUGAGGCGCGAAAGCGUGGGGAGCAAACAGGAUUAGAUACCCCCGUAGUCCCUGUCUCUUAUA